RNAcentral lists this ribosomal RNA (253 nucleotides) under uncultured bacterium. Its description in RNAcentral is "partial 16S ribosomal RNA". It matches the Rfam family "Bacterial small subunit ribosomal RNA", at positions 524 to 776 of the family's 1533-position model. The record is from RNAcentral.
UACGGAGGGGGCUAGCGUUGUUCGGAAUUACUGGGCGUAAAGCGCGCGUAGGCGGACCUGCAAGUCGAGUGUGAAAGCCCCGGGCUCAACCUGGGAACUGCAUUCGAGACUGCAUUACUCGAGUAUCGGAGAGGGCAGUGGAAUUUCAGGUGUAGCGGUGAAAUGCGUAGAUAUCUGAAGGAACAUCAGUGGCGAAAGCGACUGCCUGGCCGAAUACUGACGCUCAUGUGCGAAAGCGUGGGGAGCAAACAGG